RNAcentral lists this ribosomal RNA (263 nucleotides) under uncultured bacterium. Its description in RNAcentral is "partial 16S ribosomal RNA". It matches the Rfam family "Bacterial small subunit ribosomal RNA", at positions 793 to 1055 of the family's 1533-position model. The record is from RNAcentral.
GUCCACGCCGUAAACGAUGAGUGCUAAGUGUUGGGGGUCGAACCUCAGUGCUGAAGUUAACGCAUUAAGCACUCCGCCUGGGGAGUACGGUCGCAAGACUGAAACUCAAAGGAAUUGACGGGGACCCCGCACAAGCGGUGGAGCAUGUGGUUUAAUUCGAAGCAACGCGAAGAACCUUACCAGGUCUUGACAUACCAUUGACCGUUCUAGAGAUAGGAUUUUCCCUUCGGGGACAAUGGAUACAGGUGGUGCAUGGUUGUCGU